Molecule: ribosomal RNA, 1104 nt
Filed under: uncultured organism
Description: bacterial SSU rRNA
Rfam family: Bacterial small subunit ribosomal RNA
Source: RNAcentral
ACAGUGGCGAACGGGUGAGUAACACGUUGGUGACCUGCCCCGAGGUGGGGAAUAACUGUGGGAAACCACGGCUAAUACCCCGGAUGUUAAAGAGUUUAGACAUCUUUAACUAAAGUUCCGGCGCCUCGGGAGGGGCCUGCGGGCUAUCAGCUUGUUGGUGGGGUAACGGCCUACCAAGGCUAAGACGGCUAGGGGGCGUGAGAGCGCGACCCCCCACAAUGGAACUGAGAAACGGUCCAUACUCCUACGGGAGGCAGCAGUGAGGAAUAUUGCACAAUGGGGGAAACCCUGAUGCAGCAACGCCGCGUGAACGAUGAAGGCCUUCGGGUUGUAAAGUUCUUUUCUGGGGGACGAUAGUGACGGUACCUCAGGAAUAAGUCCCGGCUAACUACGUGCCAGCAGCCGCGGUAAAACGUAGGGGGCGAGCGUUAUCCGGAUUUAUUGGGCGUAAAGCGCAAGUAGGCAGCGUUGUAAGUUGGACGUGAAAGCUCCCGGCUCAACUGGGAGAGGUCGUUCAAAACUACAGUGCUCGAGGUUGGAAGAGGAGAGUAGAAUUCCCGGUGUAGUGGUGGAAUGCGUAGAUAUCGGGAGGAAUACCAGUGGCGAAAGCGACUCUCUGGUCCACACCUGACGCUGAGGUGCGAAAGCGUGGGUAGCGAACGGGAUUAGAUACCCCGGUAGUCCACGCCGUAAACGAUGGAUACUAGGUGUAGGGGGUCACUGAAUCCCUCUGUGCCGUAGCAAACGCGUUAAGUAUCCCGCCUGGGGACUACGGCCGCAAGGUUAAAACUCAAAGGAAUUGACGGGGGCCCGCACAAGCAGCGGAGCGUGUGGUUUAAUUCGAUGAUACGCGAAGAACCUUACCUGGGCUGAACUACGUGGUAGUAGAAAAGCGAAAGCGGAUCGACCCUUCGGGGAGCCUCGAUAGGUGCUGCAUGGCUGUCGUCAGCUCGUGUCGUGAGAUGUUGGGUUAAGUCCCGCAACGAGCGCAACCCUUGUCGUUAGUUAUACGUGUCUAGCGAGACUGCCGGUAUCAAACCGGAGGAAGGUGGGGAUGACGUCAAGUCAGCAUGGUCUUUAUGUCCAGGGCUACACACACGCUAC